This 1197-nucleotide ribosomal RNA is filed under the name Staphylococcus aureus. Its description in RNAcentral is "bacterial SSU rRNA". It matches the Rfam family "Bacterial small subunit ribosomal RNA", at positions 1 to 1179 of the family's 1533-position model. The record is from RNAcentral. Lineage: Bacteria; Bacillati; Bacillota; Bacilli; Caryophanales; Staphylococcaceae.
UUUAUGGAGAGUUUGAUCCUGGCUCAGGAUGAACGCUGGCGGCGUGCCUAAUACAUGCAAGUCGAGCGAACGGACGAGAAGCUUGCUUCUCUGAUGUUAGCGGCGGACGGGUGAGUAACACGUGGAUAACCUACCUAUAAGACUGGGAUAACUUCGGGAAACCGGAGCUAAUACCGGAUAAUAUUUUGAACCGCAUGGUUCAAAAGUGAAAGACGGUCUUGCUGUCACUUAUAGAUGGAUCCGCGCUGCAUUAGCUAGUUGGUAAGGUAACGGCUUACCAAGGCAACGAUGCAUAGCCGACCUGAGAGGGUGAUCGGCCACACUGGAACUGAGACACGGUCCAGACUCCUACGGGAGGCAGCAGUAGGGAAUCUUCCGCAAUGGGCGAAAGCCUGACGGAGCAACGCCGCGUGAGUGAUGAAGGUCUUCGGAUCGUAAAACUCUGUUAUUAGGGAAGAACAUAUGUGUAAGUAACUGUGCACAUCUUGACGGUACCUAAUCAGAAAGCCACGGCUAACUACGUGCCAGCAGCCGCGGUAAUACGUAGGUGGCAAGCGUUAUCCGGAAUUAUUGGGCGUAAAGCGCGCGUAGGCGGUUUUUUAAGUCUGAUGUGAAAGCCCACGGCUCAACCGUGGAGGGUCAUUGGAAACUGGAAAACUUGAGUGCAGAAGAGGAAAGUGGAAUUCCAUGUGUAGCGGUGAAAUGCGCAGAGAUAUGGAGGAACACCAGUGGCGAAGGCGACUUUCUGGUCUGUAACUGACGCUGAUGUGCGAAAGCGUGGGGAUCAAACAGGAUUAGAUACCCUGGUAGUCCACGCCGUAAACGAUGAGUGCUAAGUGUUAGGGGGUUUCCGCCCCUUAGUGCUGCAGCUAACGCAUUAAGCACUCCGCCUGGGGAGUACGACCGCAAGGUUGAAACUCAAAGGAAUUGACGGGGACCCGCACAAGCGGUGGAGCAUGUGGUUUAAUUCGAAGCAACGCGAAGAACCUUACCAAAUCUUGACAUCCUUUGACAACUCUAGAGAUAGAGCCUUCCCCUUCGGGGGACAAAGUGACAGGUGGUGCAUGGUUGUCGUCAGCUCGUGUCGUGAGAUGUUGGGUUAAGUCCCGCAACGAGCGCAACCCUUAAGCUUAGUUGCCAUCAUUAAGUUGGGCACUCUAAGUUGACUGCCGGUGACAAACCGGAGGAAGGUGGGGA